AGCGAACGCUGGCGGCAGGCUUAACACAUGCGAGUCGAGCGGGCACUUUCGGGUGUCAGCGGCGGACGGGUGCGUAACGCGUGGGAACGUGCCCUCUGGUUCGGAAUAACUCAGGGAAACUUGAGCUAAUACCGGAUACGCCCUUUUGGGGAAAGGCUUGCUGCCGGAGGAUCGGCCCGCGUCUGAUUAGCUAGUUGGUGAGGUAACGGCUCACCAAGGCGACGAUCAGUAGCUGGUCUGAGAGGAUGAUCAGCCACACUGGGACUGAGACACGGCCCAGACUCCUACGGGAGGCAGCAGUGGGGAAUAUUGGACAAUGGGCGCAAGCCUGAUCCAGCCAUGCCGCGUGAGUGAUGAAGGCCUUAGGGUUGUAAAGCUCUUUUAUCCGGGACGAUAAUGACGGUACCGGAGGAAUAAGCCCCGGCUAACUUCGUG
Molecule: ribosomal RNA, 435 nt
Filed under: uncultured bacterium
Lineage: Bacteria
Description: partial 16S ribosomal RNA
Rfam family: Bacterial small subunit ribosomal RNA
Source: RNAcentral